GAGUUUGAUCCUGGCUCAGGAUGAACGCUGGCGGCGUGCUUAACACAUGCAAGUCGAACGAUUAACCCAUCUUCGGAUGGUUAUAAAGUGGCGAACGGGUGAGUAACACGUGACCAACCUGCCUUUCACAUUGGGAUAACUUAGAGAAAUCUAAGCUAAUACCAAAUACUCUUAUCGGAUCGCAUGAUCUGACAAGGAAAGCUCCGGCGGUGAAAGAUGGGGUCGCGGCCCAUUAGGUAGUUGGUAGGGUAGUGGCCUACCAAGCCGACGAUGGGUAGCCGGGUUGAGAGACCGACCGGCCACAUUGGGACUGAGAUACGGCCCAGACUCCUACGGGAGGCAGCAGUGGGGAAUUUUGCGCAAUGGGCGAAAGCCUGACGCAGCAACGCCGCGUGCGGGAUGACGGCCUUCGGGUUGUAAACCGCUUUCAGUGGGAAAGAUAAUGACGGUACCCACACAAGAAGCUCCGGCUAAAUACGUGCCAGCCGCCGCGGUAAUUC
This 500-nucleotide ribosomal RNA is filed under the name uncultured bacterium. Its description in RNAcentral is "bacterial SSU rRNA". It matches the Rfam family "Bacterial small subunit ribosomal RNA", at positions 9 to 526 of the family's 1533-position model. The record is from RNAcentral.